Molecule: ribosomal RNA, 460 nt
Filed under: uncultured bacterium
Lineage: Bacteria
Description: partial 16S ribosomal RNA
Rfam family: Bacterial small subunit ribosomal RNA
Source: RNAcentral
CCUACGGGUGGCAGCAGUGAGGAAUAUUGGUCAAUGGACGAGAGUCUGAACCAGCCAAGUAGCGUGAAGGAUGACUGCCCUAUGGGUUGUAAACUUCUUUUAUAAAGGAAUAAAACGAGGCACGUGUGCCUUUUUGCAUGUACUUUAUGAAUAAGGAUCGGCUAACUCCGUGCCAGCAGCCGCGGUAAUACGGAGGAUCCGAGCGUUAUCCGGAUUUAUUGGGUUUAAAGGGAGCGUAGAUGGGUUGUUAAGUCAGUUGUGAAAGUUUGCGGCUCAACCGUAAAAUUGCAAUUGAUACUGGCAGUCGUGAGUACAGUUGAGGUAGGCGGAAUUCGUGGUGUAGCGGUGAAAUGCUGAGAUAUCACGAAGAACCCCGAUUGCGAAGGCAGCUUACUAAACUGUGACUGACAUUGAUGCUCGAAAGUGUGGGUAUCAAACAGGAUUAGAUACCCCUGUAGUC